This 586-nucleotide ribosomal RNA is filed under the name uncultured bacterium. RNAcentral describes it as "bacterial SSU rRNA". It matches the Rfam family "Bacterial small subunit ribosomal RNA", at positions 338 to 917 of the family's 1533-position model. The record is from RNAcentral.
UCUACGGGAGGCAGCAGUAGGGAAUCUUCCGCAAUGGACGAAAGUCUGACGGAGCAACGCCGCGUGAGUGAUGAAGGCUUUCGGGUCGUAAAACUCUGUUGUUAGGGAAGAACAAGUACGAGAGUAACUGCUCGUACCUUGACGGUACCUAACCAGAAAGCCACGGCUAACUACGUGCCAGCAGCCGCGGUAAUACGUAGGUGGCAAGCGUUAUCCGGAAUUAUUGGGCGUAACGCGCGCAGGCGGUUUCUUAAGUCUGAUGUGAAAGCCCACGGCUCAACCGUGGAGGGUCAUUGGAAACUGGGGAACUUGAGUGCAGAAGAGAAAAGCGGAAUUCCACGUGUAGCGGUGAAAUGCGUAGAGAUGUGGAGGAACACCAGUGGCGAAGGCGGCUUUUUGGUCUGUAACUGACGCUGAGGCGCGAAAGCGUGGGGAGCAAACAGGAUUAGAUACCCUGGUAGUCCACGCCGUAAACGAUGAGUGCUAAGUGUUAGAGGGUUUCCGCCCUUUAGUGCUGCAGCUAACGCAUUAAGCACUCCGCCUGGGGAGUACGGUCGCAAGACUGAAACUCAAAUGAAUUGACGGA